RNAcentral lists this ribosomal RNA (500 nucleotides) under uncultured Myrionecta. RNAcentral describes it as "bacterial SSU rRNA". It matches the Rfam family "Eukaryotic small subunit ribosomal RNA", at positions 1210 to 1795 of the family's 1831-position model. The record is from RNAcentral. Lineage: Eukaryota; Ciliophora; Litostomatea; Cyclotrichida; Mesodiniidae.
AAAACUUACCAGGUCAAGACAUGGGCGUGAUUGACAGGCUAAUGACUUUUCUCGAUUCCAUGGAUGGUGGUGCAUGGUCGCACUUAGUUGGUGCAGUGAUUUGUCAGGUUUAUUCCGGUAACGAACGAGACCUCGGCCUUGUAAAUAGCUAUGCUGCUUACAGGGACAUUGGCGGCUACGCCAAGGAAGCUCGAGGCAAUUGCAGAUCUGGAAUGCCCUUAGAUGUCCUGGGUCGCACGCGUGCUACAAUGACGCCACGAACGAGCUUGCGUGAUGAAAGUUACGCAUAAUCAGCAGUCGGCGUCGUAAGGGAUAGUCUCUUGUAACUGUGGGACUCCAACUAGGAAUGUCUCGUAAGCACAAGUCAACAUCUUGUGUUGAUUACGUCCCUGCUCUUUGUACACACCGCCCGUCGCUCCUACCGAUCGAGUGUUUAGGUGAAUUUGAUGGACGUAAGGAAGUCAAAUAAACCUGAGCACUAGAGAAGAGAAGUCGAUAUC